UACGUAGGGUGCGAGCGUUGUCCGGAAUUACUGGGCGUAAAGAGCCUGUAGGUGGUUUGUCGCGUUGUUCGUGAAAUCUCACGGCUUAACUGUGAGCGUGCGGGCGAUACGGGCAGACUAGAGUACUGCAGGGGAGACUGGAAUUCCUGGUGUAGCGGUGGAAUGCGCAGAUAUCAGGAGGAACACCGGUGGCGAAGGCGGGUCUCUGGGCAGUAACUGACGCUGAGAAGCGAAAGCGUGGGGAGCGAACAGG
Molecule: ribosomal RNA, 253 nt
Filed under: uncultured bacterium
Lineage: Bacteria
Description: partial 16S ribosomal RNA
Rfam family: Bacterial small subunit ribosomal RNA
Source: RNAcentral